AAGACUAUACUUUCAGGGAUCACUUCUAUAGUAGGUAACUAGAGAAGUUUCUCUGAUCGGGUAGAGCACCCGAAGUCAUGAGGAGGAGCCAGAGCAUCCUCUCCUGAGCUUGAAGCCAGCUCUAGGUAUUGCUUCUGCGGCUGCCUUUGGCCAUUGACGAUCGUUCUUCCCUUCCUUUGGAAGGGGUAGAGGGAGAGGAUGCAGUCUGAGUGGU
Molecule: small nucleolar RNA, 214 nt
Organism: Suncus etruscus (white-toothed pygmy shrew)
Lineage: Eukaryota; Metazoa; Chordata; Mammalia; Eulipotyphla; Soricidae
Product: small nucleolar RNA U3
Exons: 1
Source: RefSeq, a predicted model, not a curated record